UUGAAGUCAGUGGCUGGAGUAGUUGUGGGCCAGAAACAUCCUCCUCAGCCCAGGAGAAGUGGCAGCUGAUGUAUUUUAAUUACUGGGAGUCAAGAAGUUGUAGGGAUAAGAAAUGAGUUCAGCUGAGCGAUCAGCUGGAGGUCAGGGAUGGAGGAAAGACCCAGGGUGUGUGAGAUUCUGAAGUAGAGUGGUGAACAGGUGUGGGAUGGAUGUCAGGGAGAGGUGAGGGUAUCUGGAGGGUUUCCAAACAGCCAGGCCUUCAGGAUGGCCACAGCAAAACUUCCAGUUCUGAAUGGUUUUGUGGAAAGAACAUGGCACCUGGAUCUUGGAAGACAUGAACUGAAAUUUCAGUUCAAGCAUUCUAUAGCCAUGAGACCUGGGGGAAUUGGGGCAAGUUAUUUCACAUCUUUGAUCUUCAAUUCUCUCAUCUUCAAAAGGAGACUAAUGAUACUAGGGUUAAGUGAGAAUUUAAAAAAUAAUGCAUAUAAUGCACUACAUAAAUAGAAUCUUCUUCCUUUCCCUUUCUCCUACUUGGAAAUGGCUGAGAGCAAAGAUGCAGUUCUUGCAUCCCAUGACCACAGAGUUCUAGGACUGCAGCCCUGGGCAAGAGGUUCCACCUUGGCUGCUGGAGUUUUCUGCAACGAAGAACUUCAGUGAGUGUUCAGGGCAUGCCUGCAGAACCCUGGUCCUUCUGUUUGGACCAGUGCUCCAAAUCUGUAGGCCUUUGGGCCGUAAUUUAGAAGCUAUUUCUAAAUUUUUGAAGGUCUUCUGUCUAGUCCUGAGGCCUUUAGUCUCAGAGAAUUAAAUUGUCUUACCCAGGGUCGGUCAUACAGACUGCCAAAGCCUGGCCUGGCAUCCAGGUGCAAUGUUCAUCUGUGUUACCAGUUCCUCCAUGCUAACCUGACAAUGACUCACAAUUCCUUAUAGCACAGUGUUCCAAAGUCUGAGCCACAGACCACCUGUACUAGUAGCAGCCGGUGGGCUUGAUAAAAAUGCAGAUUCCUGGCUCCCUGACAGUCCCGUGCUAUCAGAUUCUGUAAAGUUUAAAAGUAAUGAUUUAUAAAUUUCCCAGACCCGGGUUAUACUUUUAUAUGGAAACAUAAUGCCUGAAUCUGACAGAGCGCUUUUUCAUGGAGGAAAGUUGGGACUCUUGGGCAGACUUCCUGUUGCUUUCGUACUCUACAGGUGUUCCUGACCCUGGAAGAAGAGGAUUUAUCUGACUCAACUGGAGAUGGCUCCCUUCCCUUAUUUAUUGUUGCAUCCUGAAGCUUCCCCCAUGCUGGGCUCAGUGUGAACAAACAGCGCGGGAGAAUGCAACCACUGCAGAGGCAUAUGUUUGAGAUACCUGGCCACUGGAGGUCAUCUCGUCUACUAUAUUCACCGCAGAUAAAGAAUGAAAAGAGAAUACACAACCUUGUGAUUGCUAGCAGUGAAAGCUCAGAGUUAUGACAUAACAGAAUUGGCUCAUGUGACUAUGGAGGCUGAGAUGUCCCAAGAGCUGGAUACCCAGGAGAAGCAAAGGGUACAAAUUGAUCUGACUUGAUUUGUCAGAGAGCCAGAACUGCAGGCAAAUAGACGCCAGAGAAAUCAACCAAUCUUUUAAGCCAGCAGUAAUUGUUCCUCCUGUCGGCUGGCUAAAUGACUUGUAUCUGGAGGAGACGCUCAGAAUGAAUCAGAAUGCUUGAGGUGACAGAAACACAGAGCAUUCCAAAGUGGGCUGUAACAGAAGUGGUUGAUCAUACUGUAAAACUCAAAUGUGAAGGGAAGGCUGGAACCUACUGGAAACUGAAGAUCUAACGAAAAGAAGGAACUUUUAGGAACUAGCAGAGACUUCAAAAUGUUGAGAACUCUCUUUUUUCAUAAGAGAAGAUAAAAACUCUGAUGGUCACACUCAUAAAGAC
Homo sapiens (human) is the source of this 1901-nucleotide long non-coding RNA. Ensembl annotates it as MAP4K3 divergent transcript. Its record names the gene MAP4K3-DT. NCBI's taxonomy places the organism in Eukaryota, Metazoa, Chordata, Mammalia, Primates, Hominidae. The record is from Ensembl.